RNAcentral lists this small RNA (547 nucleotides) under Pan troglodytes (chimpanzee). RNAcentral describes it as "retained intron". The record is from RNAcentral. Lineage: Eukaryota; Metazoa; Chordata; Mammalia; Primates; Hominidae.
CUUCCGGUCGCGGGACACCGGGUGUAGAGGGCGGUCGCGGCGGGCAGUGGCGGCAGAAAGUGUUGUGAAGAGCGAAGACUUUUCGCUCCCAGCUUAUAUGGAUCGGCGUGACCACCCCUUGCCGGAGGUGGCCCAUGUCAAGCACCUGUCUGCCAGCCAGAAGGCCUUGAAGGAGAAGGAGAAGGCCUCCUGGAGCAGCCUCUCCAUGGAUGAGAAAGUCGAGUGUGGGUAUUGAAGGGACCCACAGGCGCGCCCAGCAGCUCUCAGAAGUGUGUGUGUGACAGAGCCUCUGCUCACUUCUGGGCCUACUGUCUAGAGAGCAGUCUUGCACAGGAGGGUUGCUCUGCUGGGUUUCGGGGUCACUGUCCCAGGGCCCUAGUUUAUGUGCUCACCAGUCACUUAGCUCUGCCAGCUGACAGGAUCUUUUGCUAGGCCCCCUUCUCUGUGCUGAGUGGAGGUACCCUCUCAGCAUAUCUGCUGGGUAAGACAUUGUUAACUGUAAAUUAUUGAAAGAAACUCAGCAAAAUGCAUAGUGUUUGGUAUGAAA